GUCGAGCGAACAGACGAGGAGCUUGCUCCUCUGACGUUAGCGGCGGACGGGUGAGUAACACGUGGAUAACCUACCUAUAAGACUGGGAUAACUUCGGGAAACCGGAGCUAAUACCGGAUAAUAUAUUGAACCGCAUGGUUCAAUAGUGAAAGACGGUUUUGCUGUCACUUAUAGAUGGAUCCGCGCCGCAUUAGCUAGUUGGUAAGGUAACGGCUUACCAAGGCAACGAUGCGUAGCCGACCUGAGAGGGUGAUCGGCCACACUGGAACUGAGACACGGUCCAGACUCCUACGGGAGGCAGCAGUAGGGAAUCUUCCGCAAUGGGCGAAAGCCUGACGGAGCAACGCCGCGUGAGUGAUGAAGGUCUUCGGAUCGUAAAACUCUGUUAUUAGGGAAGAACAAAUGUGUAAGUAACUAUGCACGUCUUGACGGUACCUAAUCAGAAAGCCACGGCUAACUACGUGCCAGCAGCCGCGGUAAUACGUAGGUGGCAAGCGUUAUCCGGAAUUAUUGGGCGUAAAGCGCGCGUAGGCGGUUUUUUAAGUCUGAUGUG
Molecule: ribosomal RNA, 553 nt
Filed under: Staphylococcus sp. ECH3
Lineage: Bacteria; Bacillati; Bacillota; Bacilli; Caryophanales; Staphylococcaceae
Description: bacterial SSU rRNA
Rfam family: Bacterial small subunit ribosomal RNA
Source: RNAcentral